GGCGGCGUGGAUAAGACAUGCAAGUCGAACGGGGAACUUACUUAGCUUGCUUUGAAAGUUCCUAGUGGCGAACGGGUGAGUAACACGUGAGUUACCUGCCCUGAAGCGGGGGAUAGCCCGGGGAAACUCGGAUUAAUACCCUAUGUGAUCGUAAGAUUAAAGGCGGCCAUUUAUUUGGCUGUCGCUUCAGGAUGGGCUCGCGGCCUAUCAGCUAGUUGGCGGGGUAAAGGCCCACCAAGGCGAUGACGGGUAGCUGGUCUGAGAGGACGACCAGUCACACUGGAACUGAGACACGGUCCAGACACCUACGGGUGGCAGCAGUCGAGAAUCAUUCGCAAUGGACGAAAGUCUGACGGUGCGACGCCGCGUGGAGGAUGAAGGCCCUAGGGUCGUAAACGCCUGUCAUCAGGGAGUAAAAACUUACGUAGUAACUGACGUAGGUCUUGAUAGUACCUGAAGAGGAAGGGACGGCAAACUUCGUGCCAGCAGCCGCGGUAAUACGAAGGUCCCAAGCGUUGUUCGGAUUUACUGGGCGUAAAGAGUCUGUAGGCGGUAUGGUAAGUCAGAUGUGAAAUCCCGGGGCUCAACCCCGGAACUGCAUCCGAUACUGCCAUACUAGAGUAUUGGAGGGGAGUCUGGAAUUCUCGGUGUAGCAGUGAAAUGCGUAGAUAUCGAGAGGAACACUAGUGGCGAAGGCGAGACUCUGGACAAUUACUGACGCUGAGAGACGAAGGCCAGGGUAGCGAAAAGGAUUAGAUACCCUUGUAGUCCUGGCAGUAAAC
This 782-nucleotide ribosomal RNA is filed under the name uncultured Verrucomicrobiota bacterium. Its description in RNAcentral is "bacterial SSU rRNA". It matches the Rfam family "Bacterial small subunit ribosomal RNA", at positions 38 to 807 of the family's 1533-position model. Lineage: Bacteria; Pseudomonadati; Verrucomicrobiota. The record is from RNAcentral.